AGCCUGCCCCGCGCCGGGGCGGAGCCACCGCCGCCAUCUUUAAGAGGUCGUCGUCGGCAGGAGGGCGCCAUCUUGGAGAGGUCGCAGGAGGCUGAGGCGCCGUCGCCAUCUUGGGAAGGUGGUAUUCUGAUGUCCUUAGCUGUGUGCUUUGCGUCAGCUUCUGUGUCUGCAGCUUCAGGAGUCAUUGCAACCUGGGCUGGGAAAACUUCCGCACCUUGCCUCUUUUUCCAAAGCUUCAGGUGUUCUUUCCAGUGAUGACAGUUAGAAAAAUAAGAGUGCUUUAAAUGAAAAUACCAGCAUGUCACAGUAAUGACUUUGGUUCAUCAAGGCCAGGAACUGAGGCUUGGGUGGCUGUGACCUCCAAAUCUUGAGCCUGCUUUGGGUAUAGCUCUUAAGGUGUAUUUUUCCAUCUUCUCUAUGAAGGAGCUGCUUUUUGCUGGUCUGUAGCCUCUCCUUGAGAACAAGGUUUGAUUACCCAAAUCAAAGAGUAUCUCUUGGAUAGAGGGUCUCUACCACGUAAAGGGCAGGGUGCAUCAGGGAGGAGGCAUGAGCCAGCAGAUGGUGGGCUAUGGGCAGGCAGGCUCAGGAAUAAUACAGAAGGCAGU
This is a long non-coding RNA of Pezoporus flaviventris, 605 nucleotides long. RefSeq lists it as uncharacterized. The record is from RefSeq and is a predicted model, not a curated record. Lineage: Eukaryota; Metazoa; Chordata; Aves; Psittaciformes; Psittacidae. The transcript has 3 exons.